AGGGUGAUUCCCCGUUCACUUCGCUAUUCACUUCACUUACGAACUCGAUUUGAUCUGUCAAAUAAAAAGUUGAUGUUCGUCGAGUGAAAUCUAUACGUUUAUUAGUUAUUUGCUAGUGAUAUCGUGUCUAAUAAGACUCAAUAAGUUUCAAUUAAGGAAGCUCAUACUUUGGACAAUUUUGAGUUGCGUCGACAAGCCUAUGAAAUUCGUAGUUUGUCUCUAUUGGCCCGAGAUGAUAACUAUGUCAGCGUAUAUAGUCUUUCGAAGCAAUUAAUCGACCAACUCGAGCUUGAGUUGCUCCCUAUAAUAAAAAAGUACCAAACGUCGAAGAAAAGGACUUACAACUCGUAUUAAGGUUUCAAGAAAAAUUCAUCAUUGGCAGCAUUGAUGGCACUCUCGUAACUUAAAAAGACCGGCUGAGCAUGAAGACUUCUUCUGUCGUAAGAAUUAUCAUGCUAGGAUGUGCAAUUGAAAAAAUAUCAUGUGCAAUUGAUUACAGAUGACAGUUUUAUUUUUAAUGAAGAUGUAAGAGAUCACUUAGAGGCUUUGACAAAUGCUGGUGAAGAAAUUGUUUUGUUCGGUGGUUCUGGAUAUGCUGAGCGGGCUAACCUUAUGACACCUAUAAAUAAUGCCCCAGACAAUACUCCUGAAACAUAUUAUAACAUGCUUACGCAACUCCGUAGAACGCCAAAUGGUUUGUUGAAGACGCUUCAGGUGUUUGUUAGUACACAGGGUCCUAGACUAUCAUCCUGAUAAAGUUGCAAUGCAUGUUGUAUUCUGCAUAACGUGUUCAACCGGGCUGGAAUGGAGGUAGUUAAUUUGACUGAAGAUGAAAACCUAGAGGAAGCUCAGGUGGCAGCCGAGACACAGAGAAGGCAACGUGCCAAAUCAUGAUGAUUUAAAUGUUGGACGGUCGCAAAGGCCUCAAAGGACAAAGAAAAAAAAAGUCAAAGAUCUUGUGAAUAGAUUGUGGUGAUCGCG
RNAcentral lists this long non-coding RNA (981 nucleotides) under Pectinophora gossypiella (pink bollworm). RNAcentral describes it as "uncharacterized LOC126374819". The record is from RNAcentral. Lineage: Eukaryota; Metazoa; Arthropoda; Insecta; Lepidoptera; Gelechiidae.